AAGCCUGAACAUGAAGCAAAUGGGGUCUAUUCAACUGAUAACAACCUUCUGUGGUUGCUGGGUUCUAUUCAACUGAUAACAACUUGCAGCUGGAUGCAACUACUCAAUUUCAUAAAUUGCUCUCAAUUGAACGGAGUCCUCCAAUCGAGGAAGUCAUACAAUCUGGUGUCGUACCUCGCUUUCUCGAGUUCUUGAUGAGAGAAGAUUUCCCACAGCUCCAGUUUGAAGCUGCUUGGGCACUCACAAACAUUACUUCUGGUACCUCUGAGAACACAAAGGAAAGAGAAACAACCCUUUCUUUUUGGUCCGGAGCAAGAAUAAGGGGUGCCAAGGUUAAUUUCACAUUUGACGAGUCAUCUCUUAAAGCAGUAUCCGUAUACCACUUUGCGAUUAGAGGCUGUUGAAGGGAGAUGAUGGCAUACAAGAGCCUGUCGAUCAGAUCAGUUUGAAUAGUCAACAUGAACCUGAUGGCUGAAGCGGCUAUUGAUAAACAAAAGCCAAGAGUACAAACAAUAGAUGCUUUGGUUGACAAGUCAACUCUGGGUGGGACGGCUGACAUCGCUCCGACGUUGAGACAUGGCCUCCAUUCAUGGCGAUUUUUAUUGUUUCGUCUAGCAAUGUAUGUUUCCUUUGAUCUUUGGUCUUCGCUUUGUUUUUUCAUUGCAACAGUAAUUUUAUGUGAUCGUGAUUUUGAUUUUGUUUUCUAAAUGAAAACCGUUUCGCUAAAAAGGGUUACAAGUAAGAUCAUCCUAACUCCUAAGUAUAUGAUUAAUGUAUGCAAUUAUGCCCACUUACAGUACCUAUUUACUUUGGGUUAUGAUUAGUUAAAAUUUCCAUAGUGCACAAUUACAUUUAUUCCCAUCAUUCUUCUGCAAUAUAUCACAGUUCAUGUUAAAAGAGAACUUAUCUUUUAAUUUACACAUCUUAGCUCACUGUACUUCAUGUACGCCUACUAACUUUGUUGAAUGUUUGGCUAGGAUCGAAAGUAAUGUUUACAAAAAAAAAAAUUGAAAUUUGGAUUGGUUUCAGCUAUUGGCACUAUUAUGGGUUGAAGUGGAAUUUGGUUCAAGUAAUUCUGAACAGAGUGUGUGUAUAUAUAGAUGUAUAUGUACAAACAUUUUUUGUAUAAAAAAUUAAAUGAAAAAAUAGGCCCUAAAAACUAUAAUCUCAACAUGAUUUGUAUACUUGGCAGGGAAUUUGGUUGUAUCAAGUACACUGCAUGUUUAUUUUUACGAUUUCAGGUUCAAUCCUAACAUUGGUUUGAGGCUUAAACUUUUUUACAAUCAUAUUUCACUAUGCCAACGAAUGAGUUAGUUGACGUAAUAGCACCAUCCAACUAUAGCUGGAUUUGGGUAGUGUAGGUGGUAGUGCAUCGGUUACGACGACUACGGUUAUUUGUUAACUUGAAAAUCAAGUUGCGACAGCAACACAUUAUGGAAGAAACAAGAGACAAUUGCCAUCAAAGAUUCAAGGGGUAGUUAUUAACAUGGUCGUUGUUCCAUAUUAGCCACCAACCAGACACAAGCAGACCCCAUAUGACCUUUUAGUUAUGGUUCAAUUGAUGGUAACCCGGUACUCAUUGUUUGUUGGCCUUGCUGGCUACAGAGUGUGCUCGAGCCGUGUUAUGUGAAAAAAAAAGAGCUAGGAAUGCUAUGUUGUUUUUCCACAAUAUACUACUUGAAAGAGUACAAACAAUACAAGUUGGAUGGGUUGGCUAACGUGUCAACUGUCAACACGAGUUCAGGUACCCAUGAAGAGGAUUCUUUUCCCUACAAUGGGCUACUGUGUUGAGGCUAAUACUGCACAACCUCCACCACUUCCCCCUCUUAAAGAAAACUUAUUUUGGUGGUUUGAAAGAUGAAGACCACAUACCACAUAUUUACGAACCUUUAUGGUAUACAUGACACAUUUCUCAAAGGGGCCAUGAAGCGUGGUGAUUUGUAUAGAACUAAAGAUUUAGUGAUCAAGGGUUCCGAUUGGAUUUCUUGCUAUAUAAGUGAUAGAACUAAGAUGCAUAUCAUUAUAAAAAGUCAUUUGCGGAGCACA
This is an RNA transcript of Helianthus annuus (common sunflower), 2046 nucleotides long. It is a transcript of the gene named ALA-interacting subunit 1, with no coding region annotated. NCBI's taxonomy places the organism in Eukaryota, Viridiplantae, Streptophyta, Magnoliopsida, Asterales, Asteraceae. The record is from RefSeq and is a predicted model, not a curated record. The transcript has 9 exons.